Molecule: ribosomal RNA, 375 nt
Filed under: uncultured bacterium
Lineage: Bacteria
Description: bacterial SSU rRNA
Rfam family: Bacterial small subunit ribosomal RNA
Source: RNAcentral
CGCCUAACACAUGCAAGUCGAACGAAGUAGCAAUACUUAGUGGCAGACGGGUGAGUAACAUGUAGGUAUCUGCCCUUUGGCCUGGAAUAACACGAGGAAACUUGUGCUAAUACCGGAUAAGUCUUUACGGAGAAAGCUUUAUGCACCAUUGGAUGAGCCUGCACUUGAUUAGUUUGUUGGUGGGGUAAUGGCCUACCAAGACUUUGAUCAAUAGCUGAUUUGAGAGGAUGAUCAGCCACAUUGGGACUGAGACACGGCCCAAACUCCUACGGGAGGCAGCAGUGGGGAAUCUUGCACAAUGGAGGAAACUCUGAUGCAGCGAUGCCGCGUGAGUGAAGAAGGCCCUUGGGUUGUAAAGCUCUUUCGUCGGGGAAG